AUCUUCCACAAUGGGCGAAAGCCUGAUGGAGCAACGCCGCGUGAGUGAAGAAGGUUUUNGGAUCGNANAACUCUGUUGUAAGGGANGAACAAGUACAGUAGUAACUGGCUGUACCUUGACGGUACCUUAUUAGAAAGCCACGGCUAACUACGUGCCAGCAGCCGCGGUAACACGUAGGUGGCAAGCGUUGUCCGGAAUUAUUGGGAGUAAAGCGCGCGCAGGCGGUCCUUUAAGUUUGAUGUGAAAGGCCACGGCUAAACCGUGGAGGGUACUAGGAAACUGGAGGACUUGAGUGCAGAAGAGGAAAGUGGAAUUCCAAGUGUAGCGGUGAAAUGCGUAGAGAUUUGGAGGAACACCAGUGGCGAAGGCGACUUUCUGGUCUGUAACUGACGCUGAGGCGCGAAAGCGUGGGGAGCAAAC
This 420-nucleotide ribosomal RNA is filed under the name uncultured bacterium. RNAcentral describes it as "partial 16S ribosomal RNA". It matches the Rfam family "Bacterial small subunit ribosomal RNA", at positions 361 to 773 of the family's 1533-position model. The record is from RNAcentral.